RNAcentral lists this microRNA precursor (145 nucleotides) under Gossypium hirsutum (cotton). Its description in RNAcentral is "MIR7502 microRNA precursor family". It matches the Rfam family "MIR7502 microRNA precursor family". The record is from Rfam by way of RNAcentral. Lineage: Eukaryota; Viridiplantae; Streptophyta; Magnoliopsida; Malvales; Malvaceae.
UGUUAAAAUAUUUUUUCAUUUGUAUUAUUAAAAAUUAGCAUAACUAAUAGAAUAAUUAGAUAGUGAUACGUGAUAUACCAUGUGCACCUCAUGCUGAAGUAUAAAGAUCUGUUUUUAACAAUAUAAAUGAAUGUAAUUUUUAAUA